Long non-coding RNA from Loxodonta africana (African savanna elephant), 4304 nucleotides. RefSeq lists it as uncharacterized. The record is from RefSeq and is a predicted model, not a curated record. The transcript has 2 exons. NCBI's taxonomy places the organism in Eukaryota, Metazoa, Chordata, Mammalia, Proboscidea, Elephantidae.
AAUAUUAACAUGCUUAAGAAUUGCCUAGGUAUUUGUUAAAUUUGAAAAUGCUCACGUCCCAACACCUGAGAGUCUGAUUCAGUGAUAUGUAAAAAGUUGCAUUUUUAGCACACUCCCCAAGUGAUCUCCAUAUUUGGAGAAAUGUGUCUCUGAGUCCUAGUGCCAAAGUGGAGGGCUGACUGGGAUUGGGGUAUUGGUUGUCCUGGCCACUGUUUUCCAUCAAUCAUGUCCAACAAACUGCAGCUUUCUUACCUGUAAAGGGUUGGGAUGUACUAGAUCUGUAAGGUCUCUUCAGCUCUACCCUGUAUACAUCUAUAAAUAAUAUUAAAUGAAAGAACAAAGAUAUAUUCGUACAUUAUUUCCAACUCUAAAAAACACUAUAAAUAUGGCUAAAGGCUGUUGUCGUUGUUGGGUGCUGUUGAGUCAAUAUUCGACUCAUAGCAACCCCACUUGAUAGAUUAGAACUGCCCCACAGGGUUUCCUAAGCUGUAAUCCUUCUGGGAGCAGAUCCCCAGGUCUUUCUCCCGAGGAACCACCAGUGGGUUUGAACCACCAACCCCUCAGUUAACAACCAAGCACUCAACCGUGGUGCCACCACGUGAUUUUCUUAUACUCGGCUAAAGACUAGAAGAGAUUAAAAAGAUAUAUAUGUAGCUGUACUAUGGUGAAAUUCUGGAUGUACUUUAAAAAUAAGCUAUUGAAAUGGUAAAUAAUUUUUUUUUUCCAAGACAGUGGUGGACAAUGAUGUCAGGGACAUUGAGGAAGAUGAGAAUAAAGAACAGACCUUUGAAUUUAAAUGUGAUGAUUAUGACGUCACUGGUGAAAUUAGAGAGAGCAGCUUAGUAUACCAAUGGGCACGAAAAUCAUUCUGGGGCAAGAAAAAAGUGGGUGGAUUGUAAACGGAAGUGAAAAGAAGAGUGAGCAGUAAGUAAAGGGAAAGGUAAAGUUAACAUAUCUUUUAAACUAGGAGAGACCUUUCAUACAGAGACCGAAGUCACAAGCAGGAGACCCUGAAAGUCAAAGGACACUGUGAGGAAGCAGCUUCAGCAAGAAGUUACGUUUUCUCAUGAAAGAGGAAGAAGAGACGAUCUGCUACUCAUUGUUUCUCCAAGGAUGGGCCCUGAUUGACUUUACGGCAAUCAGAGUAUCUCCACCUCAGUCUCCAUCAUCCUGACUAGAAUGAAAUGGUAUGGAACAGUGUAAUGAGCAAUAGAAAUAUGGAACCAAGAAGCAAUUAUGUCUUCAAAGGAACAAAAUGAGAGCAAAUAAAAGGCCUUGCAUAAGUUAGCACACAAACAGGCAGAUCAGAACAUCAUUUACAGGGUCCAAAUGCAUGCCGUUUGGUUAUGUCUGUAAAUUAUCUCCCACAAACAUCAUGUUAUAUCACUGGAGAAUCAUUUCUGGGUUAUAAUAAAAAUUGGAUUUCUCAAAGGCCCUAAAACAUCUCAAAUUCAAUUUCACCAAUACUGAGUACCUCUAAUCUGUCAGCCAUUGCUAGGCACUGGGGCUGCAAGAUAAAUAGGGCAUAAUAUCUACCCUCAAAAUGCUUAUAGUCCAGUCAACAAAUGGAGCUAUACCAAGUAAAUACAAUGUAAUAUGUGCUGGGUAACACAGAAGAGGGCACAUAUAAUUCUGUUUAAAAAGACAGGGAAAGCCUUUACAAAGAAGUAAGCAGGACUGAAGAAAAACUAGAACCAGGUAGAUACUGGGGAGACUAGUUUCCCAGCCUUUCAGUGAGAAAAGUGCCCAAGAGUUCCCUGGGAGUGAAUGGGAGUCAGAAUUCAACCCCCUGCCUGAAGCCCGAGACUAAACCAAAGGUACCCACCUGUGAACUUGGGCUAAGAUAGAUCCAACUAAGUUUUUAGAAGUUUUCUACUCGAAGUGACAGGAAGCAGUGGUUCUUGUAUAAAAACAGAAACUGGGCCUGUGCUGUCCAUAGGUAUAGCAUCUAAAAUGGUGCUCUUUAAUGGUGUAAAAUGCCCAAGCUGUGGAUCAGAGCUGUCCAUCUCAGAGGACCAGGCUGAGGAAGCAAUGAAACCAUUCAAUAGCGAGGAACAUGCAUAGGAAAACAUUCCGUAAUGAUCUGCUUUCAUACAAAAAUUACAAAGCACAUAAAUGUAUAUUAAAUGACAGCCAGUUGGCAGACCCAAGAAAUCGGGUAAAUCACAUCUAAGGACAUAGAAAUAAUGGAGCAAAUUACCACCAUGUUUAGAACAAAUUUGUUUAGAAUCCUCAAAGAGAUAAACCAAAAAAUAGCAUUCUUAAAAUGAGAAGUUAUUAAAUUGGAAAAGGCAAAAACAUUAACAAGAAAUUAUUGAAAAUGAAAAUUGAGUAAAACCUUCAUAACCAAAACCAAACCCAUUGCUGUCGAGUUGAUUCCGACCCACAGUGACCCUAUAGGACAGAGUAGAACUGCCCCAUAGAGCUUCCAAGGAGCGCCUGGCGGAUUUAAACUGCCGACCCUUUGGUUAGCAGCCGUAGCACUUAACCACUACACCACCAGGGUUUCCAAAACCUUCAUAGAUGUGAUAAAUAGUAUUAUAGAUAAAAGAGAAUCAGUAUAUUGGAACAGAGAACUAAAUAAAUGUGGUAGAGGCUGGCUAGAUAAUAGAGAUCACCAAUUCUGUGGUGAUCUCUGUGGUUAGGAUUGUGUGUCAUCUUGGCUGGGCCAUGAUUUUCAGUGUUUAUACGUAAUCACUCCCAUGAUGGCAUCUGCUGUGAGUAGGCAAUCAGUUGAAGGGGAGUUUCCUUGGGGCUGUGGCUUGCAUCUGAAUAGAAGCAAAUGUUCUAGGUUUUUCCUCUCUUUGGAUCCUGCGGUUGCCUCUUGUUCAUCUGACCUCUGGUUCUUGAGGCUUGAGCUAUCAGCUUAUCUGCCAAUCUUGAGACACAUCGAUCUUCACAACCUGUGAGCGGGAACCCUGCCCUCUAACCUACUGAUCUUGGAUUUGCCAGCCCCUGCAGCUAUGUGAAUCAGGAGAAGCCUUGUGGUCUUGCCUGUCAACCUUGGGAUUCAUCAAUCUUCACAGCCUGUGAGCAAUAGCCCUGCUCUCCAACCUGCUGAUCUUAGGUUCACCAGCCCCUGCAGCUACGUGAAUUGAGAGAAGCCUCUAUGCUGAUCCAUGGACUUGGGAUGUUCCAGCCUCUACAGUUGUUUGAGCCAUUUCCUUGAUAUAAAUCUCUCUCUAUAUAUAUAUUUAUAUGCUUUACUGGUUUUGCUUCUCUAGAACACCCAGCCUAAGACAAAUUCUAUUUCCUCGUCUUGGGCAAAUAAGAAAACUAUAUUUUCUGGAUGCCCUUGUAGUAAGAUUGGGAUUAUAUGAUUGAAAUGUGACUGAAAGUUCUGUAUAUCACGUUUAGGCCUAGCCACAAAACAUAUGCUUUUCUCCUUUUUUGGAGGUCAUGAAGACCAUGUGUAGGUGAUGGAAACAUCACAAGAUCAAACAAAGGAGUUUGGACUCUGAGUCAUAGCUUGGAGGAGACCUGUCUAUAGAGCCACCCAACCUGCAUGAUAAUGUAACAUAAGCAAGAAAUAAGCCUUUGUUGUACUUUCUCGGUUUAUCUGUCGUACAGUAUAUUUAGCAUAAAAAAUCAAAAACCCACUGCCGUCGAGUCAAUUCUGACUCAUAGCAACCCUAUAGGACAGAGUAAAACUGCCCCAUAGAGUUUCCAAGGAGCACCUGGCAAAUUCGAACUGUUGACCUUUUGGUUAGCAGCCGUAGCACUUAACCUCUAUGACACCAGAGUUUCCAUAUUUAGCGUAGCCUAUCCUAAAUAUAUAGGAAAUCACCCAGAAUGCAAAGAAAGAAGAUAAAUAUACAGAGAAAUGAAAACAAAGUUAUGCGGGAUAGACUGAGAAGCUCCAACAUAUGACUGACAGAUGUUCAAGAUGGAGAGAAUAGUUAAAAUGGGUGACAGAAAAUAUUACAAGAGACAAUAGACUGAAAAUUUUGCAGAAUUAAAUAAAGACAUAAAUCCUCAGAUUGAAAAAAAUAAAGUCAUUCAGUGUAGUAACUUCGUUGCAGCAGUAAAUUUCACAAUAAUGGUUCAAAAAAAAAAAAUCAGGCCAAAGUUUAGGAACAUACUGUCACCUUUUUUAUAGCUCUUCAUUCAUUCAUUAAUUCUUUCAUUCACUCAGAAAAGAAAAAUUUUUUAUAUGAUUUAUUUUAUUUUAUACAAGAAAUAUUUUUAAGAUUAUUCUGUGUCAAAUUCCUUGUUAGAAACUGGGAGUUGAGGAGCCGGGAGUUUACGAUCUAGUGGGAAAUCAAAGAAGUAGCUGGCAGGUACUACAGGCUGUAUAGGGUAAA